CCGGUAUGAAUGGGAAAGCCCUGAAGUGGAAAUGAUUUGGAAGAAGUUUGCAAACGACCCCCCCCAUAGACAAACUUUCGAUGGGGUCCCGGUCCUGGUUAUUUAUGUUGAAGUUAUAGAUAAAGCCGGCCUCUUCCCUUGACUAUAGAGAAUAAUGCUACCACUUACUAUAAUUGAACUGGGCAUCCGGAUCCACUACAGCGAUUAGAU
Molecule: long non-coding RNA, 210 nt
Filed under: Musa acuminata (dwarf banana)
Lineage: Eukaryota; Viridiplantae; Streptophyta; Magnoliopsida; Zingiberales; Musaceae
Description: long non-coding RNA (MACU_LNC009166)
Source: RNAcentral